UACGGGGGGUGCGAGCGUUGUCCGGAAUCACUGGGCGUAAAGGGCGCGUAGGUGGUUUGAUAAGGGUGUGGUGAAAGCCCGGGGCUCAACCCCGGGAGGCGGGUGGAUACUGUCAAGCUCGAGUCCGGAAGAGGCGAGUGGAAUUCCUGGUGUAGCGGUGAAAUGCGCAGAUAUCAGGAGGAACACCAAUGGCGAAGGCAGCUCGCUGGGACGACACUGACGCUGAGACGCGAAAGCGUGGGGAGCAAACAGG
RNAcentral lists this ribosomal RNA (253 nucleotides) under uncultured bacterium. RNAcentral's name for it is "partial 16S ribosomal RNA". It matches the Rfam family "Bacterial small subunit ribosomal RNA", at positions 524 to 776 of the family's 1533-position model. The record is from RNAcentral.